Molecule: RNA transcript, 1720 nt
Organism: Micropterus dolomieu (smallmouth bass)
Lineage: Eukaryota; Metazoa; Chordata; Actinopteri; Centrarchiformes; Centrarchidae
Exons: 10
Source: RefSeq, a predicted model, not a curated record
CAGUAUAAUGUAAUCAGCUGUUUCAUUAAUAUGGGCAAGCAUCGCAUGAAAGCAUUGAAAAAUAUUGGAAUCUGUUUUUUAAAAACAUUUCAAUAAAUAAUAAUAAAAUAAAUCAUUUCAUAGCUGAAUUCAGACCAUAUCAGGCACUGUGGCUAAAACGCAGGCGGGGCCUGGGCGAUAGGAUGGUACAGCACACACACACAAGCCCAGUGCGAAACAAAGCAAGAAAACGCCGCAGGUAGCGGUUCCGUUUCGGUCUCUCUGACGCGUGGAUCUGGAUAUAGCCUAUUCAGGAAGCGUGGGGGAACAAUAGCCUAUACCUCCCAGCACUGAUCUAUAACAUGAACGGGCUAUACAUCUUUCUGCUGUGUGCUCCUGUGCUCGCUCAGUGGUUUGCAGUUGCAGCAAGUCAAGAUAUAGGCCUACUGCUUGAUUACAGGUGGACACACAACUUGGCAGGUGUUUUUCUGCCAGAAUCCAGGAUGUGCCGCUAAUGUGACUUGCGUGUAUUGCAAUGACGAGCUUCUCCACAGUCACACUCCCAUCGCAGAUUGCAGCGGUCAUCCACCACCGAGUACUGUCUGCCAGCAUGAUGGCCGGGCGUUCGUUUCCACCGACGCAAAUGCUGAUUGCGAGUUUGAAGGAAUAUCAGGUUAUAUGAAAACUGAAAAAUGCACAGUCCACAGCAAGAUUUGUGAUUUUAACAGAGAUAUGCGCAUGGACAAUGCAAAACUUGGAAGCAUUGUUGGUGGAGUUGUUUGGCUAAAAUGUUUGUCUUUCUAACGCUGACAAUCAGGUUUAGUAUGCCUACUAGUAGGCUUAUAUCUGUGUUUCUGUAAAAAGAGACGAUGCAGAGAGCAACAUCAACAGCCAGUAAGUGACUCUGCAUGUGACUGUACCCCUAGAAGAGAUACAAAGCAGUAAGCCCAGUGAGAGAGAUUGUGGUGUUGGUCCUGGAUUGGAUAGUGGCAGCUCUCCUCAGUGUGACCCGAGCUUAAACUCCUGCAGCAUUUUAAUUUGUUGUAUUUUGCAGAUUUUUGUAAAUAAGCAUGUUAUGUGUGCACGAGGGUACUUUUUAUUAUAUGUUGUACAAGCUUCCACCCCAGGCAAAGGUAAAGGUACUUUAUUUGACAAAUGCAUGUAGCGAGAUUCAUCCUCUGCUACGCGAAGUGCAAAUCAAGUUUAGAAGUGUAGCUGUUUUUGGUCUAAAGUGCGCGCCCUCUAGUGGCCUAGUGCAGUGUGUUGUCAGGGUGGUGAUGUUUUUAUGAAUGAGCAACGCAGGCUUGGGGAGUGGCUCCCUCAUGUGAUCCAACUGCGUUGUAUGCACCAUCACACAGAUGUUGAAUUGAUCACAUAUUUACCAAAUAUCGAUCACACUCACUCUUCACUUAGUUCCCUGAUGUGGUGAAUAUAGAACAUAGACCUUGUCCCUUUUUUGACUGGUUUCUUUUGUUAAUGAAUGUGUCUGUAUACCGAGUACCACUAUUUACUGCAAGCACAAAGGUGAUUUUAUGAUGAUUUUUAUUUUAACUUCUUUCUUCAUUUUCUUUGUGAUGUGUGGGGUUUGCCCCUCUGAAGGUGUAAGAUGGCAAAUUCAAUUGUAAUUCCAUUUGAGAAUUAAAAUGUGAGAGUUGUUAUUAGACAUUUCUUUAAUGAUAGGAAAUGACUUUCAUAUAAUAUUUAAUGUACUCCUAAAACUUCUCUGAAAAAAAAAAAUAUA